Molecule: ribosomal RNA, 405 nt
Filed under: uncultured bacterium
Lineage: Bacteria
Description: bacterial SSU rRNA
Rfam family: Bacterial small subunit ribosomal RNA
Source: RNAcentral
UGAGGAAUAUUGCACAAUGGGCGCAAGCCUGAUGCAGCAACGCCGCGUGAGGGACGAAGGCCUUCGGGUCGUAAACCUCUUUUCUGAGGGACGAGAAAGGACGGUACCUCAGGAAUAAGUCUCGGCUAACUACGUGCCAGCAGCCGCGGUAACACGUAGGAGGCAAACGUUAUCCGGAAUUACUGGGCGUAAAGCGCACGUAGGCGGCAUCGUAAGUCCGACGUGAAAGCUCCUGGCUUAACUGGGAGAGGCCGUUGGAUACUGCGAAGCUCGAGGUUGGGAGAGGAGAGUGGAAUUCCCGGUGUAGUGGUGGAAUGCGUAGAUAUCGGGAGGAACUCCAGUGGCGAAAGCGACUCUCUGGCCUACACCUGACGCUAAAGUGCGAAAGCGUGGGGAGCGAACAGG